GUUCUUCUUUACCCAUUUACCACUUUAUCUCUAGGGUUUUAAAAGAAGUGUUUGGAUCUGGAUGAACACGAUCAGAAAAAAUAGUGUCUGAUUUGAAAUUAUUUGAAACAGGUUUGCAACAUAUCAUGAAACCAUGUUGAUUUUGGUAAGGUAAAGGUGGUUAAUCCACAGAUCUUCUGAAAAAACACGUCAGGGCAAAAACGUCGACAUCACCAAAAAUUCACCAGAUCACCAAACUAGGAAAACAGAAUCAACACCACUAAAUCAUACCAAUGAAAACAAGACAACCAGUAACCGAGAAGCAGCCAACACACAUGAAGGGGCGAAAAUGUCAAUCGUCCAAAAAAAUCAAGAUACUCUAAAAUGCCAUCACAGAAAGCACCAAACCUACGAGAACUGUGAUACUGUCAAUCAGUUUUUAAAUCUUUGUUUUUUGUUUUUUGAUCAAAAGAACGAACUAUUGACUACAAUGUUUGCUUUGAUUUGAAGAUGGAUCAAAUGAACGAA
Molecule: non-coding RNA, 507 nt
Organism: Lactuca sativa (garden lettuce)
Lineage: Eukaryota; Viridiplantae; Streptophyta; Magnoliopsida; Asterales; Asteraceae
Source: RefSeq, a predicted model, not a curated record